GGCUCAGGAUGAACGCUAGCUACAGGCUUAACACAUGCAAGUCGAGGGGCAUCAGGAAGAAAGCUUGCUUUCUUUGCUGGCGACCGGCGCACGGGUGAGUAACACGUAUCCAACCUGCCCUUUACUCGGGGAUAGCCUUUCGAAAGAAAGAUUAAUACCCGAUAGCAUAAUGAUUCCGCAUGGUUUCAUUAUUAAAGGAUUCCGGUAAAGGAUGGGGAUGCGUUCCAUUAGGUUGUUGGUGAGGUAACGGCCCACCAAGCCUUCGAUGGAUAGGGGUUCUGAGAGGAAGGUCCCCCACAUUGGAACUGAGACACGGUCCAAACUCCUACGGGAGGCAGCAGUGAGGAAUAUUGGUCAAUGGGCGUUAGCCUGAACCAGCCAAGUAGCGUGAAGGAUGAAGGCUCUAUGGGUCGUAAACUUCUUUUAUAUAAGAAUAAAGUGCAGUAUGUAUACUGUUUUGUAUGUAUUAUAUGAAUAAGGAUCGGCUAACUCCGUGCCAGCAGCCGCGGUAAUACGGAGGAUCCGAGCGUUAUCCGGAUUUAUUGGGUUUAAAGGGAGCGUAGGUGGACUGGUAAGUCAGUUGUGAAAGUUUGCGGCUCAACCGUAAAAUUGCAGUUGAUACUGUCAGUCUUGAGUACAGUAGAGGUGGGCGGAAUUCGUGGUGUAGCGGUGAAAUGCUUAGAUAUCACGAAGAACUCCGAUUGCGAAGGCAGCUCACUGGACUGCAACUGAC
RNAcentral lists this ribosomal RNA (733 nucleotides) under uncultured Bacteroidales bacterium. Its description in RNAcentral is "bacterial SSU rRNA". It matches the Rfam family "Bacterial small subunit ribosomal RNA", at positions 21 to 744 of the family's 1533-position model. Lineage: Bacteria; Pseudomonadati; Bacteroidota; Bacteroidia; Bacteroidales. The record is from RNAcentral.